This is a long non-coding RNA of Passer montanus (Eurasian tree sparrow), 5956 nucleotides long. RefSeq lists it as uncharacterized. The record is from RefSeq and is a predicted model, not a curated record. The transcript has 3 exons. Lineage: Eukaryota; Metazoa; Chordata; Aves; Passeriformes; Passeridae.
UAAAAUUUAUUGAGGCUUAUGUAAUAUUCACACAGUGCUAAGGCAUGGCAAAAAAGAGCUGAUUGUUGAAGAUUGAAAUCUUGGGGUUGUUUAGCAGUACUUAAUUGAAUAGGUACUAAUUUGUACUGUUCUAAGAUGGUGCAGCUUUUCUUGUGAUACCUUUUUAAUUAUUGGUGCAUGGGAGUAUUUUUGCGGUGCAAAUCAUGCUGAUCAAUUGGCCUGCAGUUUGAAAAGGACAUUUAGGAAAGGGAAGCUUUGCAAUUUGUGUAUCAAACAUUUGUAAAUUGCUUCAUCUGUGCAGCUGUAUUUUAAGGUAAGUACAGUGACACGGUAGGUGAAAACCCACUGGAAUUACUGUCAGUGUAACACUUCUCUGUUUUAUGGUGUAAUCAUUUUAUGAGGAUAUGAGUCACAGGUCAUGGACAGACACAUCUCAGAAGCUGAUUUUGCACUAUAUAUUUAUAGGUAAAAAAAUAUGUGAAACACAUGUUACAGAUACUGAAUUUCUCAUGCCCUCAAAACCAAGGAAAAUUAGUUAUUUGGUAAAAAUGUGCAAGAAAUGUAAGAACUUUCUGCUUAGCUAGGCAGGGGAACUGAAAAUUCUUACUGUCUGUACUUUCUGCUGCUGAUGAUAAUGUAACUAGAAUGAAGGUUUCUCAUUGUCCACUUUUAAAAUAAUUUCUAAUUCAUCAUAUUUAAUGAAAUAAUGAUAAUGUCAGGUUGGGUUUUUUUAAAAUUCAACUAAUGCAUAGAGCCAUAAUAUUAUAAAUAAAAAUCCUAAGUUUCUCCUGCAUACUUGAAACUAGUGGGAUGUUUGGUAAGUAAAUUUAAGACUUAACUUUUCUAAGCAUGAAAUUUAAAUGAAAAUUAAUUUGUAGAAUAUACAUAAAUUGGUUCAUUCUCAAGGCAUCAAUAUAGCAGGCCACUUAGCAUCAGCUGUAUAGGAAAAAGUGGUUGUAGUUUUACUGCUUCGUCUAAGCUGCUGUUUCCUGGUUUAUUAGUUUACGUCCCAAAUUACCAAAAGUUUUCAUCAGAAUUCUUUGGGUGAUUUCUUAUUUUAAUUUUGUAUAGAUAAGAAAAAAUUUACCACCCCAAGACCAAACCCUAAAAACCUGUGUGCUGGUUUUUGGUGGGAUAAAGUUAGUUGUCUUCAGAAUAGCUGGUCUGGGACUGUGUUUUAGAUUUGCCCUGGAAGCAGUAUUGAUAACACAGGGGUGUUUUUGUUACUGCUGAGCUGUGCUUACACAGCAUCAAGGCCUUUCUGCUCCUAACAGAACUGGGAGGGGACAAAGCUGGGGCAGCUGACCCCAGCUGACCAAAGGGAGAUCCCAGACUUUAAGGCAUCACAGCUGGUAUAUAAAGCUGGAGGAAGAAGGAGCGAGGGGGUUCAGAAUGGUGGUGGUUGUCUUAUGAAGUAACAGUUCAUGUGAUGGAGCCUGGCUUUCCUGGGAGAUGGCUGAGCACCUGCCUGCCUGUGGGAAGUGUGCAUAACAUUGGCAUUGGUGCACAUCAUGUUCUCUUCAAAGGACUGAAUGUGGCCAGAACUUGAAACUGGUUCUCUGAGCCUUCAUGGAGGAAAGGCUGGUGAAACUGCAGGGUUCUUUCUCUGUAUUGGUCAAGGCAGGUGAUUCCACCCACAAGGAGAGUGGUAGAGCCAGCAAAAGACCAUAGUGGAAAUACAAGGGCAUCAUCUGGAGCAAAGUAGGAAAGGGUGACAAAGACUGUUUCUUCAGCAGCAAAGUGCUAAGUUGAAUACUCAGCUGUCUAAUGGAAUUUCAUCUUUCAGGAAACCCAGUAAUGCUGGCAAGUUUUGUGGCUUUUUCCAGCUGCUUGAUCACCUGAUAAUAUAACCCAAUUUUCCAUUUGGUUUUGCGGAACUAGAUCUUCAUUUCAGUGCUAAAGGCAAGAUAUGUAACAAAAAGGCUGGUACCUUGGCUUUUUUUUUCUUAAUUCCAAAAUUAUAACUUCAGUUUUUACUUGUUUAAAAUUAGAAUCACAAGAAAUUCAAGAAUGUACUUGGACUUACCAGAUGGGGAAAGUGAAGUGUAUCCCAGUAAAUGCCAUCUUAGGCAAGCUGCUCUGCUGUAUUUUUUAUGUUGAAAACACAGUCCAGAGACUUUGGAGAUUAAUGACGGCAUACGUUUCUGAAAGACCAUGUACCUCAUUGCUAAAUGUCAUUCAGAAUUGGAUUUUAAAUUUAUCUCCACCUUGCCUGAUGAUUAGGAAACAUUACUGGUUGUCAAGCACUGGAACAGGCUGCCCAGGGAAAUGGUGGAGUCACCAUCCCUAGGGAUAUUUAAUAGACAUGUAAAUGUGGCACCUGGGGACAUGGUUUUGUGAUGGACUUGGCAGUGCUGAGUUAAUGGUUGGACUCAAUGAUCUGAGAGACUUUUUCCAACCUAAAUGACUCUGUGAUUCAUUACAUCAGUGACUGCAGGCACUGAUCAAGCAGAUAUCAGCUUAGAUGCAUGCUGGAGGUGAAGUCUGUACAGCUGCAAAUUAUUCACUUUUUUGGUUUUGCCAUUUUUCAGCAAAAUGUGACUAAUUGCUUUAGAUUAAUUAGUUAGUGUGUUCUACUUCAGUGAAACUUCAUUUGUUUCUCCCGUUGAAAGUGUUGUCUGAGCUCUGACUCUCAAUCAAGCUGGUCAGUGCUACUUUGAGCAGUAGGGUACAACCUUAAAGUCACAUGUAACAGAGUUAUGGCAAAAAGCUUUUAGUAUUGUCUGAACAGUAGGCUGAGAAAUUUAAGUGUGUUACAGAAGGGGAAUUCCUGUUUCAACGAAGAUACCAUUGUAUUUUUUCAGGUCUUUUUAUUACUAACCAGGUUUCUAAAUGCCUAAUAUGUAGCAAAAUUUAAAUACCAGCUGAAAUGGUAUUCCCUUUUGCAUGUGUUAUAUGCCUUUAAUAACAGCUCACUAGCAAAUGUCUCUGUAAAGAAGAGAAGUCUGUCUCCAUGCUGGUUCUUGUUUUUUUCGGUGGUUAUAUGCCAUAUGAUUUUACAGUAAGAGAAACUCUCAAAAGGCAUGUAGGUGGACUAAAAGAGGAGGAACAAACUUAAUUUUGUGAAAACAAGUAGACAAUUAACUUAAUUGAAUGCAAAAACUGUUAAUAUGAUACAGGGUUAUACCCCAAGUAAGAAAUUGUAGCUAUGCCAUCACAAUGCAUUAGAAUAUUUCCUUGGAGUAGUAUUUUCUUAGAAUCAAUUGAAAAACAAAAGUUACCUGGAACCAUGAAGUAUAAUACAUUUUAUUGUUGUACACAUAAUAGUUCAUCACUUUCCUUUUUGCUUUAAUCCUUUCUUUAGGAAAUUCAAAUCUUUAUAAAACUAAUUUCCUUGAACUGUUAUAAAACCUCCAUAUUUCCAAAGCAUAGAAAUUACAUAGUUGCAUUUAUGAUGAACUGUUGAAUGUCACUAUUCAUGGUCAUAUCCAGGUGUGCUAAAUAAUCAUCCUGGAUCAACAUUUGUAUUUAUUAUUUUGACAUGCAACAAUUUCAAUGCAGUAACAGCUGUUAGUUUGUCUGGAUCAUCCAGGGGAUUUUUUCCCAUUAUUUGGUGGAUGUGGUUUUUUUCUGUUUUGCAUUCUGAAGUGGAUCCCAUCCUGUGUGAUUUUUUUUUUCCUGAUUCAGAAUUAAUAGUAAGGAGACUAAAGACCUUUAAGACUUUAAGACUUUUUUUUCCUCAUUUCUGCAAUUCUGAUGCAACAUCCCAGCCUAAGAAAGUUUCUGUCAGCAUUGUCCUGAAAGUGUUGUCAGAUGUGUGAGGGGAUAGACGUCAGAAACAUGCUUGCACCAAUAUUAGGGGUGUUCAUUUCCAGCAGCAGCAGUGCAAAUUCACAUCUGGGAGAAGUGAUAUUAAAAGUUUAGCUACAAUAAUAUCAAGGCAGGAGAAGUUCAUUCCUUUCCUGUGCCAGUGCUGACAUGGAUAAUUUAGUUGUCAUUUCUGCAGUUGUUCUAGCAGCACGAGGACUUUUAGGUACAACAAUAAAUUCUUCUCAGAAUUGGUACACAGGUCUGAUGUUUUAUUUCCCACUACAUUAAAAACAGUUUAAACUCGACAUUAUUUUCUAUUUCACUGGUAAAGGGGUUUAUGAAUCUGAAAACUCCAGAGAAUUUCCUUGUCUAAAACCAGAUUCAAGUUAUGAAUUUUCUUCACCAAAGAAGAAAGUUAAUGUCAAGAUUUAAGAUAUAAUCUUGGAUUAGUAUAUGAUUUCUGCAUAUGUGGGCUAUAUGUAAGAAAGUAAUCUCUCCAGCUACUAUUGGAGGUACUUCACUUUAAUGUAAUUUAUUUCAAUAGACAAAUAAGAUCUAAUCUAUCCUAAAACUUUGGCAUCCUAGGUCUCUCUUUCUGGAGAGAUGGAAGGAAUGUUGCUGACUAUGGAGUGUAUUGUGAACAGAAUUCAACAUGGUGUGGACAUUGCCAUGUAGGCCAUAGGGCACUGUAUUGAAAAUACACAGAUCUGGAAAAGGAGAAGUCAAUUUUCAAUACUGGGCAAAAAGCACCAUUUGGACUUAAAUGCCAACAGUUGAAGAAAAUCCCAUUUCUUAGUAGGAUUUCUUAUGUGGAUGCUAUUAUAGGGAAAUAAAUUUCAUGUGCUUUCUGACAAGAUCACCAUGGAUAUCUGUAGUGUCCCUAGCAGCGAUAUCAAGGCACCAAGACUUUUGAAUCUUGCUGCAGUCAACACACUUCACUGCUAUGCUGAGAAGGCUGCUGCUGUCCUUUGCACUCAGAGAAUUAGGAGGCUUUGCUUUGUAGCAUUCAAAUUAAGGAAGAACUUAUAAAAGACUAACGGUGAAUAAAUUUAAGAAUGAAUAAAGGGUAAGAAUAGAUUCCUAUACGAUUCCCAUUAGUUCCCAGCCUGCCUCCUAGUGGUCAGCUUUCCCACUACACUGACAGUCACCCUUUUAUGGUUUGUUUUGUAUCAUUUCUCUCAAGACAUUUCAGAAUACAGCACUUUAAAAAGCAGAUAAUUUUACGUGCACAUUCCCAAAAAUCAACUAAUUUUACCCUAUAAUUAUAGCUGCUGCUUUGCCUUAGUGUGAAGUACCAUCCCAAAAAAAGGCUUUCAGAAAAGUGAAGAAUUACAGAAAAGGAAUAGGUCUUUUGUACAAAGAUUUAUCAAUCAAACUUAGCUCUGAAAACCUCAUCUCUCUGAAGAAUUGAAAAGAGAGAUGUUAGGUUCCUGGAUGGAAUCCUAGACUGGGGUUUUCUUACAAGUUUUCAUUUCAGGGUUAGCUGGCUGAUGGGCCAAGGUCAAGAUUUCAGAGAAGUUAGGGCCGCUUUCUGUUAAAUUUGAUGAGAAAUUCAGACAAAGUAAAUAAGAUGUUCUGAAAAGAGCUACCAAAUUAACUGUAAACAUGUCAUUUUUCCUACAGCAUCCUAAUUUUUCCACAUUAUAUUAUUUUUUUGUAAUAAAAUAUGAACUAUUUCUUCUAAAUAUGUAUGAUUCAACACUUUAUAUACUGAACAGUAAAUAUCAGAGUUGCUGUAGUCAUUGUAACUUUACAUUAUUUGGAUUUUGGUUAGUAUGCUUUGAAUUUGAGUAUUUGAUCUUAGUGGAUGACAUUGUCCUCUGCUUUGUACCUUUCAGCUCCACAUGGCGUUUACUGAAAUUUCAGAAUAGCACCAGCUAGAAAGGCAUCGAGAAACACAGUGUUUGGUCUAAUGAUGAUUUGCGAUACUUUUUGUAAAGCAAAGUUAUUGAGAUGGCAGCUGGGUUUACUUAAAUGGAUUUAAAUGUUCAGGAUGUUCCUGAAUUGUAUUGAUUAAGCAUUUGUUUAUUUAAUAGAAGGUGUUAUCUGUGAUAGUAUCAACUGAAAAAUGCAGAGAAGUCUGUGUUGAAUCAUCAUAGUAACAUAAAGUACCUGUUCUUCAGAUAGAGCAAUAAUUUAUUCAUGGUGAUCAAACUUAAUGGGGGCUUGGUUUUUUUAUUUGGGGUUUUACAUUUGAUCUUAUUUG